This 301-nucleotide ribosomal RNA is filed under the name uncultured bacterium. RNAcentral describes it as "partial 16S ribosomal RNA". It matches the Rfam family "Bacterial small subunit ribosomal RNA", at positions 509 to 809 of the family's 1533-position model. The record is from RNAcentral.
CAGCCGCCGCGGGAAUACGGAGGGGGCUAGCGUUGUUCGGAAUUACUGGGCGUAAAGCGCACGUAGGCGGCUUUACAAGUCAGAGGUGAAAGCCUGGUGCUCAACACCAGAAUUGCCUUUGAGACUGUAUCGCUUGAACGUCGGAGAGGUGAGUGGAAUUCCGAGUGCAGAGGUGAAAUUCGUAGAUAUUCGGAAGAACACCAGUGGCGAAGGCGGCUCACUGGACGACUGUUGACGCUGAGGUGCGAAAGCGUGGGGAGCAAACAGGAUUAGAUACCCCCGUAGUGCCUGUCUCUUAUAA